This 395-nucleotide unclassified non-coding RNA is filed under the name soil metagenome. RNAcentral's name for it is "partial contains 5.8S ribosomal RNA, internal transcribed spacer 2, and large subunit ribosomal RNA". The stretch from base 1 to 122 matches the Rfam family "5.8S ribosomal RNA", at positions 35 to 154 of the family's 154-position model. The record is from RNAcentral.
GAUGAAGAACGUAGCGAAAUGCGAUACUUGGUGUGAAUUGCAGAAUCCCGUGAACCAUCGAGUCUUUGAACGCAAGUCGCGCCCGAAGCCAUCAGGUUGAGGGCACGUCUGCCUGGGCGUCACAUAUCGUUGCCCAAUGCCUAUUGCAGUGCAAUAGGAAUUUCUAGGGCGAAUGAUGGCUUCCCGUGAGCGUUGUUGCCUCGCGGUUGGUUGAAAAUCGAGUCCUUGGUAGGGUGUGCCAUGGUAGAUGGUGGUCGAGUUAGAACGAUACCGAUCAUGUGCAUGCUCCCCAAAAUAUGGCCUCUAUGACCCACACGCGUCUUUUGACGCUCAUGACGAGACCUCAGGUCAGGCGGGGCUACCCGCUGAAUUUAAGCAUAUCAAUAAGCGGAGGA